AGGUACUAUUUCUGGGUUAGCGGAGUCUGUAACCUGAAGCGCCUGUCACCUGAAGCAUCUGUAACCUGAGGUACCACUGUACAGAGAUUUCUCCAAAUCCCAGGACUUCCCCUCCCCCUCCGUAGAGUCCCAUUUUAAACAUUUUAAACUGCAUCUUCCUCCAAACUCUAACUUUUGUAUCAAUCCAUAUUGUCCAUGGUAAUUGUUAUACGACAAGUGGAAUCAGAAUCCUGCCAAUGUUUCCAUUUGCUUACAAUGGUCUCUUCGAUAACUCAUACGUUUUCCCCAUUCUUUUGUAAAGUUUUUGUCCUCUUGGUUCCUGAGUUUUCCAGUAAGCUUUGCCAUUUCGGCGUAGUCCAUCAGCUUGGUUUGCCAUUCCUCUCUGGUAGGGACCUUGUCUUCUUUCCAUCUCUGGGAUAGUAGCAUCCAGGUGGCUGUUGUUCCGUGCAUAAAAAGUCUUUUCUGAUCCUUUGGGAUGUCAGUACCUGUAAUUCCUAAUAAAAAAGCUUCUUUUUU
Molecule: non-coding RNA, 516 nt
Organism: Podarcis lilfordi (Lilford's wall lizard)
Lineage: Eukaryota; Metazoa; Chordata; Lepidosauria; Squamata; Lacertidae
Source: the annotation of a GenBank genome assembly